UACGUAGGGUGCGAGCGUUGUCCGGAAUUAUUGGGCGUAAAGAGCUCGUAGGCGGCCUGUUGCGUCUGCUGUGAAAGCCCGGGGCUUAACCCCGGGUCUGCAGUGGAUACGGGCAGGCUAGAGUUCGGCAGGGGAGACUGGAAUUCCUGGUGUAGCGGUGAAAUGCGCAGAUAUCAGGAGGAACACCGGUGGCGAAGGCGGGUCUCUGGGCCGAUACUGACGCUGAGGAGCGAAAGCGUGGGGAGCGAACAGG
This 253-nucleotide ribosomal RNA is filed under the name uncultured bacterium. RNAcentral describes it as "partial 16S ribosomal RNA". It matches the Rfam family "Bacterial small subunit ribosomal RNA", at positions 524 to 776 of the family's 1533-position model. The record is from RNAcentral.